UUUCUAUUGGAUGCAAGUCGAGCGAACAGAUGAGAAGCUUGCUUCUCUGAUGUUAGCGGCGGACGGGUGAGUAACACGUGGGUAACCUACCUAUAAGACUGGGAUAACUCCGGGAAACCGGGGCUAAUACCGGAUAAUAUUUUGAACCGCAUGGUUCAAUAGUGAAAGACGGUUUCGGCUGUCACUUAUAGAUGGACCCGCGCCGUAUUAGCUAGUUGGUAAGGUAACGGCUUACCAAGGCGACGAUACGUAGCCGACCUGAGAGGGUGAUCGGCCACACUGGAACUGAGACACGGUCCAGACUCCUACGGGAGGCAGCAGUAGGGAAUCUUCCGCAAUGGGCGAAAGCCUGACGGAGCAACGCCGCGUGAGUGAUGAAGGUCUUCGGAUCGUAAAACUCUGUUGUUAGGGAAGAACAAAUUUGUUAGUAACUGAACAAGUCUUGACGGUACCUAACCAGAAAGCCACGGCUAACUACGUGCCAGCAGCCGCGGUAAUACGUAGGUGGCAAGCGUUAUCCGGAAUUAUUGGGCGUAAAGCGCGCGUAGGCGGUUUCUUAAGUCUGAUGUGAAAGCCCACGGCUCAACCGUGGAGGGUCAUUGGAAACUGGGAAACUUGAGUGCAGAAGAGGAGAGUGGAAUUCCAUGUGUAGCGGUGAAAUGCGCAGAGAUAUGGAGGAACACCAGUGGCGAAGGCGGCUCUCUGGUCUGUAACUGACGCUGAUGUGCGAAAGCGUGGGGAUCAAACAGGAUUAGAUACCCUGGUAGUCCACGCCGUAAACGAUGAGUGCUAAGUGUUAGGGGGUUUCCGCCCCUUAGUGCUGCAGCUAACGCAUUAAGCACUCCGCCUGGGGAGUACGACCGCAAGGUUGAAACUCAACGGAAUUGACGGGGACCCGCACAAGCGGUGGAGCAUGUGGUUUAAUUCGAAGCACGCGAGAACCUUACCAAAUCUGACAUCCUUUGAUCCG
RNAcentral lists this ribosomal RNA (970 nucleotides) under uncultured bacterium. Its description in RNAcentral is "bacterial SSU rRNA". It matches the Rfam family "Bacterial small subunit ribosomal RNA", at positions 45 to 998 of the family's 1533-position model. The record is from RNAcentral.